CAGGCCUAACACAUGCAAGUCGAACGGAGUAGCAAUACUUAGUGGCAAACGGGUGCGUAACGCGUAAGCAACCUGCCCCAAACUGGGGGAUAGCCUUGCGAAAGCGAGGGUAAACCCGCACGGUCCUUACUCAUCACCUGGUGGGUUAGGUAAACAUUUAUGGGUUUGGGAGGGGCUUGCGUCUGAUUAGCUAGUUGGGGGGGUAAGGGCCCACCAAGGCGAUGAUCAGUAGGGGUUCUGAGAGGAUUGGCCCCCACAUGGGUACUGAGAUACGGACCCAACUCCUACGGGAGGCAGCAGUAGGGAAUAUUGGGCAAUGGGCGAGAGCCUGACCCAGCCAUGCCGCGUGAAGGAUGAAGGCGCUCAGCGUUGUAAACUUCUUUUAUCGAUGAAGAACGUACUCUAUGCGUAGGGUAGUGACGGUAAUCGAGGAAUCAGCACCGGCUAACUCCGUGCCAGCAGCCGCGGUAAU
RNAcentral lists this ribosomal RNA (472 nucleotides) under uncultured bacterium. Its description in RNAcentral is "bacterial SSU rRNA". It matches the Rfam family "Bacterial small subunit ribosomal RNA", at positions 43 to 524 of the family's 1533-position model. The record is from RNAcentral.